RNAcentral lists this ribosomal RNA (254 nucleotides) under uncultured bacterium. RNAcentral's name for it is "partial 16S ribosomal RNA". It matches the Rfam family "Bacterial small subunit ribosomal RNA", at positions 524 to 776 of the family's 1533-position model. The record is from RNAcentral.
UACGGAGGGUGCAAGCGUUAUCCGGAAUCACUGGGUUUAAAGGGUGCGUAGGCGGUUCGGUAAGUCCGUCGUGAAAUUCCAUGGCUUAACCAUAGGGACUGCGAUUGAUACUGCCAAACUUGAAUCAGGUUGAGGUCGGCGGAAUGUGACAUGUAGCGGUGAAAUGCUUAGAUAUGUCAUAGAACACCGAUUGCGAAGGCAGCUGGCUGGGCCUGAAUUGACGCUGAGGCACGAAAGCGUGGGGAGCAAACAGG